Molecule: ribosomal RNA, 481 nt
Filed under: uncultured bacterium
Lineage: Bacteria
Description: partial 16S ribosomal RNA
Rfam family: Bacterial small subunit ribosomal RNA
Source: RNAcentral
GAUGAACGCUGGCGGCGUGCUUAACACAUGCAAGUCGAACGAAACACCUUAUUUGAUUUUCUUCGGAACUGAAGAUUUGGUGAUUGAGUGGCGGACGGGUGAGUAACGCGUGGGUAACCUGCCCUGUACAGGGGGAUAACAGUCAGAAAUGACUGCUAAUACCGCAUAAGACCACAGCACCGCAUGGUGCAGGGGUAAAAACUCCGGUGGUACAGGAUGGACCCGCAUCUGAUUAGCUGGUUGGUGAAGUAACGGCUCACCAAGGCGACGAUCAGUAGCCGGGUUGAGAGAGUGAACGGCCACAUUGGGACUGAGACACGGCCCAAACUCCUACGGGAGGCAGCAGUGGGGAAUAUUGCACAAUGGGGGAAACCCUGAUGCAGCGACGCCGCGUGAGUGAAGAAGUAUUUCGGUAUGUAAAGCUCUAUCAGCAGGGAAGAAAAUGACGGUGCCUGACUAAGAAGCCCCGGCUAACUACGUG